Molecule: ribosomal RNA, 307 nt
Filed under: uncultured bacterium
Lineage: Bacteria
Description: partial 16S ribosomal RNA
Rfam family: Bacterial small subunit ribosomal RNA
Source: RNAcentral
AGACAGCAGUCGCCACGGUAAUACGUAGGGUGCAAGCGUUAAUCGGAAUUACUGGGCGUAAAGCGUGCGCAGGCGGUUCUAUAAGACAGAUGUGAAAUCCCCGGGCUCAACCUGGGAACUGCAUUUGUGACUGUAGAGCUGGAGUGCGGCAGAGGGGGAUGGAAUUCCGCGUGUAGCAGUGAAAUGCGUAGAUAUGCGGAGGAACACCGAUGGCGAAGGCAAUCCCCUGGGCCUGCACUGACGCUCAUGCACGAAAGCGUGGGGAGCAAACAGGAUUAGAUACCCCCGUAGUCCCUGUCUCUUAUAC